Molecule: long non-coding RNA, 4940 nt
Organism: Choloepus didactylus (southern two-toed sloth)
Lineage: Eukaryota; Metazoa; Chordata; Mammalia; Pilosa; Megalonychidae
Exons: 6
Source: RefSeq, a predicted model, not a curated record
CCGGGAGGUGGAGCACCCAGCCGCUAGAUAGCGAGACAAGGUUUCAACUCCCAGAUUCCUCCGUCGAACAGGCUUCCUCCCCACUUCCCUGAAAGUAAACUUGUGCUGAAUUCACAUGAGGCAGAAGAGUGAACUCAAAGAGUUCAGCCUCUGAAGUCCUGUGAUUGCCUUCAAACCCAAACCCUGCAAGUUUCUAGCUGUGAAACCAUCUAUGUGCUCUUUGGCAAGUACUUAAAGUAUUUCAGGCUCCUUGUGCUCAUCUGGAAAAUGAGAAUAAUAAUAUCUUCCCUGCAUUGAGAUGACAAUUGUCUGCUACACAGCCUACCACACUGCAGACACUCAGCAAAUGGCAGCCAUGCUCAUUCUCAUUCUGCCAGCCUACCAAGCAGAUCAAUUUUCUGGACGUGCUCUGAAAUUAAUGGACCAUAUCCAGCCAUCUUUCAGGAACUAAAUGAUUACUACUUGUGUUGUUCUACUGAAAGGAAAAAAUGGUUGUGGGCAUUCAAGUACGUCUUCGAGAAAAAGAACACACAAGAGGCUGGCAGAUGCUGCUGCAUAACCAAAAAGCAUAUUCUAAUAUACAUGCCUUAAAGCAUAAAUGUUUCCUUUUGGGGGAAAAAAAGCACAAAAAUCCAGUUGUGUAGUUUAGGGAAAAUAAUACUCAGUAUAAAGGAAAUAUAACUCCAGGAGAUGACUGAAAGGGCAGAAUUAGAGAAGCAAAAAUAGCAAAAAAAUUAUGGCAAAGGUUUCUAAAAAUACAAUAGAAAGUUAUGCUAAGAAAACAAAGGCUACUUUUGCUAAACCAGGGACGAGAGCUCAUAAUGAAAGAUGCAAAGAAGAGUGAAUAUGGAGGCGCUAUUUGGUCUCAGGUUUUAGCACAAAGAAAGAAGGAAGCAGGAGCUUGGUAAGAUAAAUAUUAAUGCGUCUCUGGGAAUAUCAAGAAACAGAAUUAAUAAGUGGCAGGUAAAAGCAUGCUUAUACAAUUUAAAUAUUUAUAAAUCAGCAGAGUUGGGUGAGAUUCAUUUGAACAUAUUCAACGAACCGGCUAAGGCAGGACGUACCUCCAAUGCUAGUGUUUUGUCGCGGAGACUUAUGUACCAGAGAAAUUCAAAGCACACUGAUUUAGUGUUGGAGAUAAAGCAGCCAAAAGCAGAUCCGGGAAAAGGUGGGCUAGUUAGCAUAUCCAAACUACCAGUCAAAACCCUAAAUGAAAUCAUAAAUCAGUCCAUGAGCACCUUGAGGAAAAUAACAUAGUAAAUAAUAGCCAAAGAAGUUCAUAAAGAAUAGAGCCUGUCAAAGCAACUUGAUCCAUUUUUGGAUAUGCUAAGAUAUUUGGGGGGAAGUAAUGGGUGUUAUAGAUACAGUUUAGGGAGGCACCAGAGAUGCUACCAGACAAUUCCUUUUGGACCCUUCUUGUUGUUGCAAUGGCUGUUGCCCUCACCCUUUCCAACAGAGAAGGGCAAUUUCAUUUGCACACUUAACAUGCGGGAAUAAGUAUUCAUUCCCCAUGACACUCCAGAAUGGAAUUUAAUUAUUGGUCAAAUAUCCUCAGCACCCAGAAAUACAAACUAAAAGUUACCCAAAUGAGAGACAUUUAUAAUACUGGAGUAAAAUGGACUGACAUAUUUUGGAAAGACAAAUGUACCUAUACACCUGCAAUUAGAUUAUUUCAGGCAAAAAUGAAUGCUUUUGUUUGAACUGCUCAUAUAAUUAUGGAAAAUAUAAAAGGAUAGGAAAAGAAAAGUCCUUCUUCAAAAAUGCAGAUCUAAUUAUGUCAACAGGCCCUGCUGAAAACAUUCAAUGACUUCCCAUUUUUCUUAGAUGAGAAUCUUAGCCUUCCCAGGAAGCCCUGCCAAGUCUGGCUAUACCUCUCUCGGCAGCCUCACUUGCGCCCCACUCCUCUUUACUCUGGCAAGCAGCUACCCUGGCCUCCUUCCAGCUCUUCUAAAGCAUCCUUUUAUUCUUACCACAGGGCCUUUGCACAUGCUGUCCUCCCUUUCACUUACUUAUUCAUUCUUUGUCUUUGAAUGCAAACACACUUUUUUGGGGGAAACCUUCUUCAACCCCCCAGGCCAUAUGAUGUUCCAUUAUUUUUUGCUCUAAUAAAACCACAUUUCCUUCCCAGAAGCAUAAGUUUCAGAAUUAAUUUUAUAUUCAUUUUAAAAAAUUAACAUACUCCUCUCCCACUAGACACUAAGCUCCACAAAAGCAGGGUCCAGGUAUAGUUUCCUCAAGAUUUUAACCCCAGAACCUAGUACAGUGACUAGCACAAUAAAUAUUUGUGAGAAGGUAAAUAAUUCAAAGCAUAUUUACUGAUGGACUCCCUUCAUAGUCAACUAGAAUGACAUCUCUCUAUCCUGGCUAUUAUAAUAGUCUCUUCAGUUUUCUUUUCAAAUAAUAGAAUGGGAAAAAGUCUAUAAUAUAGGUCUUGUUGACAGAAGCAUAAAAACACGAGGCCGCUAAAACCUGAAUCACUGAAUUCUACAUUUGCACAUUAUAUUUACAUCUGAUGAGUUCCAAAAUUUCAUUUCAUGGUGAUAAUGAAGCCGUAGGAAAUUAGCAUUCUAUGACUCUUCACAUGAGAGUGUUAGUGAAGGUUUUCCAAGUAAUGUGUCAAAUAGAAAACGAAACAUUUUUCAGCUAACCAACUUUGCAGCACACCCUUGCUGCUUUAACAGUGUUCAUCUUUACAGCUUGGAGGGACCUAUACAGAAAUUUUCAAGAGAGCCAUGAAGUUAGAGAAUAUUCUAUUUUUAAGAAUCACCUCACAAAUAAAGUUCCUCCACCCAAGUUUUGCUUUUGGGAGAAGUAAAACCAAGUCACAAUAUCAUUGAAAAAAUGAAUGAAAGCAGAGGAGACAGUGGCAAGGGUGAAAACUGGAACAUUUUUUUUUGUUCACAGUGAUCACAAGAAAAUGACAGAGAUCCUUGUAGCAAAUCCUGUGGCCUUUGAUGUGAGCACAGCCAAGAAAACACCUUCAGCUGCACAAGUAGAGCAGAGAAAUUUGAAGAAGGCAUUUCAUAUUCUCCUCUGUUGUGUCUUUGAUGUACAAAAAGGAUUUAGCCCUCGAAGAUGAAGACCUUAUCUGUUUUCCUUCUCCCUGAGAAGAGCUUUGUUCCACAUUUCCCAUUUGGGGAUGAUCCUAGUGAAUAAGUGACAAAUAAUUAUAGGGUGUUUCAUUAUCAAAGUACUCACUGCCCAAGUUCCUACAGGCAACAGGUUGCAUAGAAAAGCAAAAGUCAUCAUAACAAAAAUAUUUACCAACGAACUGACCAUUUAUAAUAUUAGCCCCAACUUAAAUAUUCCUCACAGUUGCAAACACUGAUAUUACACUACAAAUUCCAUGCAAAUUAACUGUUAAGGCAAAUUACAAAUCUUGCAAAGGAUACAAAGUUUCAUAAAGUCAAAGUGAUUUGGGAGAAGUCCUCUAAAUAGGUAAAGACUUUGGCAAGUGCCUAGUUAAAAGCUGAGAAAGAAAAAUAAAACUAUAAGAAAGAUGACUUAAUAGCCCCUCAAAAAGUAAUGAUCUGAAUAUCAAAGGAAGAGACAUUUAGGAAAAUUGAUAUAGACUGAAUAUUUUCCCAAAUGAUCUUUAUUAUGAACUUGUUGCAAAACUUAAACAUGAAGUGAAAGAUUUCAUUAUCACUUAAUUUUAUGUUGAAAAUUAUUCUCCUAAAGCCUGAUUCAUUCUUCAUAUUAAAAAGUUCAUAAUUGAGAUUAUAACCUAAGAAUAAGUGUUUUUUUAAACUAAGUUUUGUUUAAUAUUUGAAGUUAAGAUCUCUAAUCAAGUCCUUCACCCCCAUUAUUUACUUGAAAAAUUGGUUCCUGUAUUUAAAAGACUUCACUUUCAGUGGCCUCUUUCAGGUAUCAAUUAUCUUUGAAUAAAGAUCUCCUCUAUUCCUGAAUCGAUCUAUUUGUCCCACCCCAGUUGUCACUGCCUUAAUCCAGACCACCAUCAUUUCUCACUUGGGUUACUACAACUGCCUCUACUGUCUCUGCCAGUCUCCAGGUCUUCCUCCCAAUAGCAGCCAGAUGGAGCCUUCUAAAAUGCAAUCUUGAUCAUGGUUGUAGUCCUUUUCCUGGGGCUGGGCUCACUGCCCUCAGAGUCCAAACUUCUUAGCAUGUCAGCAAAGCCCUUCAGGAUUUAACCCUUUUCUUUCAACCUCAACUCUCCAAAAUCCUCAGCCUGCACUCCAGUAUAGCUGUCCUCAUCAUUCCAACUUCUCAUCACCCCCAGUGCUCUACAGUCCCACAGCUCCAGCCUCUGCACUGCCUGCUCCCUUCACAACUUUCAUUUCUCAGCUGAAAGAUCACUUCCUCCAAGAAUUCUUCCAAGAUCACCUGGGUUAGGUGUGCCUCCCCUGUGUUCCACAGCAUUCUGUACUAACUGACCAUGAUGAAUUUCUCGUAAUUACAGUUAUCUGUCAGGGGGAGGGCAUGAAUCCAGCCUGACACUCCAAGGGUCUCUCUCCAGCACCUCGCUCGGUACCUGGCCAGGAGCAGGUACCUAGUAUAUGCUUUAAUAAAAGAAUGAAUGGAGGAAUGAAUGUAGCAACAUAUAGACAAAGCAAAAUGAAUAUUAUGUGAUGAAAACAGUAAAACCACACUGUAAAAGAAGUGAAACCAACCAUUAGCUGAGACAUUUUCAAGUCUGUGUGGGUAAAGAAUGUGAAAGUUUAGAUGUCAAAACCAUUCCCAGCUGUUUCUGGAGAAUGGGACUGGGGGGCUAAAAGAAGGGAAUUUCAUUUUUUACUUUAUACACUUAAUGAUCACUUGGUUAUUUUCCUAAGUGUAUAUUAUCCUUAUAAUAAAAAAUUUAAAAAACAAUAAAUGCCUAUAGCCAGAUGUUUACUGUUAUUUUUUAAACAGUUUCUGAUCCUAUUCUCCCACUCUUUAAAUUGAAUAUUUCUAUUGUUUUUUUCUAAAUCGUUAAAAGUAAA